GCCCGAGUGCUGGAAUGGUAGACAGGCUACCUUGAGGUGGUAGUGUCCGCAAGGGCGUGGAGGUUCGACUCCUCUCUCGGGCA
This 83-nucleotide transfer RNA is filed under the name Berkelbacteria bacterium GW2011_GWE1_39_12. Its description in RNAcentral is "tRNA-Leu". It matches the Rfam family "tRNA". Rfam says of the family: Transfer RNA (tRNA) molecules are approximately 80 nucleotides in length. Their secondary structure includes four short double-helical elements and three loops (D, anti-codon, and T loops). Lineage: Bacteria; Candidatus Berkelbacteria. The record is from RNAcentral.